GUCUAUGGCCAUGCCAACCUGAACAAGCCUGAUCUGGUCUGAUCUCAGAAGUUAAGCAGGAUCGGGCCUGGUUAGUACUUGAAUGGGAGACCACCUAGGAAGACUAGGUGCUGUAGGCA
This is a ribosomal RNA of Pteropus vampyrus (large flying fox), 119 nucleotides long. The record is from Ensembl. NCBI's taxonomy places the organism in Eukaryota, Metazoa, Chordata, Mammalia, Chiroptera, Pteropodidae.